GACGAACGCUGGCGGCGUGCUUAACACAUGCAAGUCGAACGGAAAGGCGCUGCUUUUGUGGGGUGCUCGAGUGGCGAACGGGUGAGUAACACGUGAGUAACCUGCCCUUGACUUUGGGAUAACUUCAGGAAACUGGGGCUAAUACCGGAUAGGAGCUCCUGCUGCAUGGUGGGGGUUGGAAAGUUUCGGCGGUUGGGGAUGGACUCGCGGCUUAUCAGCUUGUUGGUGGGGUAGUGGCUUACCAAGGCUUUGACGGGUAGCCGGCCUGAGAGGGUGACCGGCCACAUUGGGCCUGAGAUACGGCCCAGACUCCUACGGGAGGCAGCAGUGGGGAAUAUUGCACAAUGGGCGGAAGCCUGAUGCAGCAACGCCGCGUGCGGGAUGACGGCCUUCGGGUUGUAAACCGCUUUCGCCUGUGACGAAGCGUGAGUGACGGUAAUGGGUAAAGAAGCACCGGCUAACUACGUG
RNAcentral lists this ribosomal RNA (468 nucleotides) under uncultured bacterium. Its description in RNAcentral is "partial 16S ribosomal RNA". It matches the Rfam family "Bacterial small subunit ribosomal RNA", at positions 28 to 507 of the family's 1533-position model. The record is from RNAcentral.